CCUACGGGAGGCUGCAGUGAGGAAUAUUGGUCAAUGGGCGCGAGCCUGAACCAGCCAAGUCGCGUGAGGGAUGACGGUCCUACGGAUUGUAAACCUCUUUUGCCGGGGAGCAAGCGUGCGUUCGUGAACGCACGUCGAGAGUACCCGGAGAAAAAGCAUCGGCUAACUCCGUGCCAGCAGCCGCGGUAAUACGGAGGAUCCAAGCGUUAUCCGGAUUUAUUGGGUUUAAAGGGUGCGUAGGCGGAUUGAUAAGUUAGAGGUGAAAUGUCCGAGCUUAACUCGGGAACUGCCUCUAAUACUGUUGAUCUAGAGAGUAGAUGCGGUAGGCGGAAUGUAUGGUGUAGCGGUGAAAUGCUUAGAGAUCAUACAGAACACCGAUUGCGAAGGCAGCUUACCAAUCUAUAUCUGACGUUGAGGCACGAAAGCGUGGGGAGCAAACAGGAUUAGAUACCCCAGUAGUC
This 461-nucleotide ribosomal RNA is filed under the name uncultured bacterium. RNAcentral's name for it is "partial 16S ribosomal RNA". It matches the Rfam family "Bacterial small subunit ribosomal RNA", at positions 338 to 795 of the family's 1533-position model. The record is from RNAcentral.